This 253-nucleotide ribosomal RNA is filed under the name uncultured bacterium. RNAcentral describes it as "partial 16S ribosomal RNA". It matches the Rfam family "Bacterial small subunit ribosomal RNA", at positions 524 to 776 of the family's 1533-position model. The record is from RNAcentral.
UACGUAGGGUGCAAGCGUUAAUCGGAAUUACUGGGCGUAAAGCGUGCGCAGGCGGUUUUGUAAGUCUGACGUGAAAUCCCCGGGCUCAACCUGGGAAUUGCGUUGGAGACUGCAAGGCUAGAAUCUGGCAGAGGGGGGUAGAAUUCCACGUGUAGCAGUGAAAUGCGUAGAGAUGUGGAGGAACCCCGAUGGCGAAGGCAGCCCCCUGGGUCAAGAUUGACGCUCAUGCACGAAAGCGUGGGGAGCAAACAGG